CCCCUCCUCCUCCACGUUGGAAAAUAACCCCACUGUUUGUUGACUGCCUUAAACGUUCUCUGAAUUGGCAGAUAUGGUAAAUAAAACUCCUUUUAACAUAGAAUCCAGCUGCCUGGCCGCAAAGAAUACUCCAGCCACUUCAACAAGGUGAACGUGUUAAACGCAAGAUUCGUGAAGUAAAUUUGAGGACACGCCGUGCGCACGUGGGGAAGUACAAGAAUGCACUUGUAAAUAUGCACCCGAAGGAUACAUCUCGAAGGCAUGUCUCCUUCGCGUUAGCUAAAGCAGUACAUUUCGUUUCUUUUCUCCGAAACACAACAUUAUCAAGGAACCAACUGCAGGUGUUGGUUUAAACCGAAGAUAGACACAAAAAGCUGGAGUCACUCAGUGGGACAGGCAGCAUCUCUGGAGAAAGUAAAUAGGUGACGUUUCGGGUUGAGGCCCUUCAUCAGACUGGGAGUCAGGCAGGGACCAUUCUACGUUUCCUGAGCUCACCGUCUGCUUUGAUCCGUGGUUUUCACACCAACAUCCGCAGUUCCUUCUCGCUCCACUUCGCCGUGUCAACGACUGUUUUAUUGUCGUAUGUCCCAGAUAGAACAAUUACAUUAAUUCUUACUUGCAGCAGCACAACAGAAUACGUAAACAUAGUACACGGUAAACAAUAUAAUAAACGAGGAAAAAGUUCAGCGUGUGUGUACGUGUGUGUUACUCACGAGCGAACCAAAUCACCCGAGUCACUUGGUGAGUUUCUCUCAACAGAAUGGGAUUUGUAUUUGACCACAAAAGUAAAAGGUCAUAAGGAAGUACGAUUAUAUAUGUUGACGCUGGAGGAGAAGUGAUUAUAAAUACAAAUGGCGUGUUAUACACUGUAAUAGGUAUAACCGGCCAUUGUGUAACCAAUCUGCCCUUAGAAUGACAUGAUUUCAUAUUUAUCAUAUUUCAGUUGUACAUUUUGUAAUAUUUUGGAUUUAUACUAGGCAUCCUACAAAAAUGUAUUUUUUUUCUUAUACCAAUGAAAUGACUACAAACACACAUAAUGUUUCCG
Molecule: long non-coding RNA, 1045 nt
Organism: Leucoraja erinaceus (little skate)
Lineage: Eukaryota; Metazoa; Chordata; Chondrichthyes; Rajiformes; Rajidae
Exons: 3
Source: RefSeq, a predicted model, not a curated record